UGGGGAAUAUUGCACAAUGGGCGCAAGCCUGAUGCAGCCAUGCCGCGUGUAUGAAGAAGGCCUUCGGGUUGUAAAGUACUUUCAGUCGGGAGGAAGGUGUCAAGGUUAAUAACCUUGGCAAUUGACGUUACCGACAGAAGAAGCACCGGCUAACUCCGUGCCAGCAGCCGCGGUAAUACGGAGGGUGCAAGCGUUAAUCGGAAUUACUGGGCGUAAAGCGCACGCAGGCGGUUGAUUGAGUCAGAUGUGAAAUCCCCGGGCUUAACCCGGGAAUUGCAUCUGAUACUGGUCAGCUAGAGUCUUGUAGAGGGGGGUAGAAUUCCAUGUGUAGCGGUGAAAUGCGUAGAGAUGUGGAGGAAUACCAGUGGCGAAGGCGGCCCCCUGGACAAAGACUGACGCUCAGGUGCGAAAGCGAGGGGAGCAAACAGG
This 429-nucleotide ribosomal RNA is filed under the name Chloroflexota bacterium. RNAcentral's name for it is "Chloroflexi bacterium partial 16S ribosomal RNA". It matches the Rfam family "Bacterial small subunit ribosomal RNA", at positions 355 to 776 of the family's 1533-position model. The record is from RNAcentral. Lineage: Bacteria; Bacillati; Chloroflexota.